GUAGGAGCAGGCUUGUCCUGUGACUGCGUACCUUUUGUAUAAUGGGUCAGCGACUUAUAUUCAGUGGCAAGGUUAACCAUCUAGGGGAGCCGUAGGGAAACCGAGUCUUAACUGGGCGUUCAGUCUCUGGAUAUAGACCCGAAACCAGGUGAUCUAGCCAUGGGCAGGUUGAAGGUUGAGUAACAUCAACUGGAGGACCGAACCGACUAAUGUUGAAAAAUUAGCGGAUGACUUGUGGCUAGGGGUGAAAGGCCAAUCAAACCUGGAGAUAGCUGGUUCUCCCCGAAAGCUAUUUAGGUAGCGCCUCGGACGAAUACUACUGGGGGUAGAGCACUGUUAAGGCUAGGGGGUCAUCCCGACUUACCAACCCUUUGCAAACUCCGAAUACCAGUAAGUACUAUCCGGGAGACACACGGCGGGUGCUAACGUCCGUCGUGGAGAGGGAAACAACCCAGACCGCCAGCUAAGGUCCCAAAUUACUACUAAGUGGGAAACGAUGUGGGAAGGCUCAGACAGCCAGGAUGUUGGCUUAGAAGCAGCCAUCAUUUAAAGAAAGCGUAAUAGCUCACUGGUCGAGUCGGCCUGCGCGGAAGAUGUAACGGGGCUAAGUAGU
This 613-nucleotide ribosomal RNA is filed under the name Vibrio parahaemolyticus. RNAcentral describes it as "partial 23S ribosomal RNA". It matches the Rfam family "Bacterial large subunit ribosomal RNA", at positions 573 to 1190 of the family's 2925-position model. The record is from RNAcentral. Lineage: Bacteria; Pseudomonadati; Pseudomonadota; Gammaproteobacteria; Vibrionales; Vibrionaceae.